UGUGCAUUAUGCAUGUCAGAAUAGCUGAUGUAAUACGCAGUGACAUGGGGAUUCAGGUCAACAGGUGUUUAUAACACAGAUUUGAAGAAAAACUAUCUCAAUCUCGCGUUUGUGUUGGACUAUUAUUGAAAAGCAUUUUUUUUUUUGCAAUUAUGUUUUCAACAAAUGUUCAAAAUGGACGAUCUUGGAAAUAGCAAAAUUCACUUAAGAUGCAGGGCAGGUUUAACUCGUUAAUUACCUGUUUAGUUUUGCUAGGGUUUCAAGUGUCGACGGUUUACUUGGUCGAGCCGGUUCCAUAUCUAAUUAAGAUUUUAAAACUUUCGUCUAUGUGCGGCCCAGAGAAAUACUUUAACAACUACAUAAAUGGAGGUGGGCAAUGCAAGAAGUGUUGACCCUGUGCUAAGGGCCUUGUUGAAGUGUUACCAUGUAAUAAGAAUGGGAAUACCAGGUGCCGACCUUGUCCACCAGGAACAUUUAAUGAUAGAAGAAACGGUGUUUGCAAUAACUGCACAGUUUGUGAAAACACAAGAUGCCGCAAAUGUCCUGACGGGACUUUCUCUGUUGAUGGAACUAGAUCGGCAUGUAAAUAUUGUAAAACUUGCAGCAAAAUUUAGGACGAGAUUUUACCUUGCACAACGGAAAACGAUCGAGUAUGCACAAAAAAUAGUCAGAUGGACUCCGCACAAUCUGAAGUAAUAAGCAUAGAGACAGAAGUUGCAGACAAUGAUGAAUUUAACACACAUACCCGAUUGGUUCUGGUUGCCACUUGCACAACGAUUUUAUUUGCCUUCUUAAUUGUCCUUCUCGCUUGGACGUUACAAACAUACCGCCAUUUUGCCGACCGGUAUCAGUUGACGCAAUGUAAAAUUUGUGUCCUUUAACACGUGGCCUAUCCAAUUAGUAUUCGUUUAUAGCCUACUCAUUUCAUGGAAUAGUUCCUCAUUUUCAUAAUCGACAAAGAAACAAGGUACUGAAUGUUGAAGUUAAAAUGCUUUUUUUCUGCGGUGGUUCAAUAAAUUAUUGUUUCAGGCUAUAAUAUUUUCGCUGGUUACUGUAUAUAUAUUUAAUGCGACACAUGAAUGCCUUAUUUUCACAUCUAACUUAAUGCUGUUUUUAUUCAUGUGUCCAUUGUUAUGAUGUAUUUGUGUAUAUUAUAUGUCUGUAUAAACAUGUGCGUGCUUUUUGUAGGUAUCAAAGUUCUUUGAAGGUGUAUGUGUAUAUGAUGUUAAAUUAUACAUAACAUAUCAAUGUCCAUCGUGCUAGCAAGUCGAUAUAUCGAAUGAUUCCGGUCAAAUGAGGUUUCAAUCAUAAAACGCUAAACAAACAAGUAAGUAAUUAAAACAGAUACCAUUCAUAUAUGUUUUGUUAUAUAGAAAACAAGCCAAAUAAAAAUGUAUCAUUGACUUCAAGAAGAAACAAACUAUAAGAUAGAUGUUUGUGGGGUACGCCACCAUUUAUUGAAUGAAUAAUUGAAAGGGCGAACGUGUUAGCAAAAGAAAUACUCAUAGAUUAAACAUUUUUUCAGACCAGUCAGAAACGCAUGAAGACAGGUCUUUUCCAGGUAAAGAUUAAAGAUCACGCGAGGUUGUUGUCAAAUUUUGAGGCGUGGUUGUAGUAAAAAAUCAUCGGGAUCAAUAUGUUAAUAUGUUUAUUUUUACGUGAAUAUUAUUCGAAGUUGGCAUUACGUAUUACAACGACAAACAGUUCAAACAUGUAUUCGAACGAAUCGUGUUUAUGUUCAAGCAGUCGUUUUUGUCUGUAAUUUGUUUUGAAUGGAAGCACAUUUUCGAACAAUCAGCCUUAAAGUUCAUGAAAACGUUUCAAAAAGAGGAUGACAAUGUUUCUACUAAACGGUUAGUUGUUUAUUUUCAAGAAUAUCGUUAGCUGUUGUUAUUUCCCUUUUUAAUCCACAUAUUUCAUCGAAAAGCAUGACACAAAUGAUAUUUAUUUUCCUUACCGUGACGGCCUUCAUUAAAACAUGGACAAAGGUUUUUAUAUUACGCUCAAUGACAAUUACAAGAAGUAUGAAUGAUGUUCUAAACAACGUCUUACGUCGGACAUUUUUAAUUUUGAGUGUUUGCGAUCUAAGUGGCAAUGGUUAACACACUAUUUCAUUUAAAUAACUAUAUUAGAGGAGGACUACGGGAGCGAACUGUGGAAUAAUCUUCAUAAUUACAAGGUAUAAACUCUUAAAAGAGUCCACAGAAGCUGCGAUACAUGCAGAAUAUACCCAAAGUUGCAAUUGCUUAGGAUUUAAUGGACUCCACAGAGCUAUGCAUUCGUAAAAGAAAGAUUAUAUUUUUGUUUAAACAUGCCGAGUAGUUACAUGUAAGAUUAAAGAUAGAUUUAAGUAUGUAAUGAAUUUAUUUUGGGCAUAAAAUGAGUCUUCUUUGUCAAUUAUUUCAUAUAAUUUACUCAUUUGGACUCUAAAUCUAAAAUUUGCUUACACAGAUGCCCUUUCUGAAUUUAAUUAAAUCACACUAUAAUUUGUGUUACAUACAUUUCGGAUGUUCUUGGUUUCAGCAAAUAAUGUUGCCGCUUUUACUAUUCGCUCUAUAUAGCGUACUGAAUUAGAAAUAUAUUAUAUCCAUUGCUUUUUUAGAAGAUUACAUGAUAUGUGGAUUUACGGAAAGGGUGGCGUUUCCGUUAUUGGCAAAAGCAAUGAUGUGAACGGAAUGUAUCCUAUUGUGUUUAAGGAUGAAUUGUUGAGGUAUCGACUUCCGCCUUUCCAAUAAACCAAUAACUUAUUUGGAACGGCUUAGUAGAAAUUAAAGUGUCUUAAAGGUAGUCGAUCAUGUUUUGGGACCAAUAAUUUGUUAUUUGAUAAUGCAUCUGAAAACACUUAAUUUAUCAUUAUUUUAC
Long non-coding RNA from Mya arenaria, 2862 nucleotides. RefSeq lists it as uncharacterized. The record is from RefSeq and is a predicted model, not a curated record. NCBI's taxonomy places the organism in Eukaryota, Metazoa, Mollusca, Bivalvia, Myida, Myidae. The transcript has 3 exons.